Pristis pectinata (smalltooth sawfish) is the source of this 126-nucleotide small nucleolar RNA. RefSeq annotates it as U8 small nucleolar RNA. The transcript has a single exon. Lineage: Eukaryota; Metazoa; Chordata; Chondrichthyes; Rhinopristiformes; Pristidae. The record is from RefSeq and is a predicted model, not a curated record.
UUAUCUGUAAGGUAUAUCCUUACCUGUUGCCAUUUAAGCAGCAGAAAAUGAUGAAUGGUUUUAAUGAGUCAGUGAUUAACUAACUCCCACCCUGGGGAACUAACAACCCCCCAGGACCGUUCUGAU